Molecule: ribosomal RNA, 269 nt
Filed under: uncultured prokaryote
Description: partial 16S ribosomal RNA
Rfam family: Bacterial small subunit ribosomal RNA
Source: RNAcentral
UACGGAGGGGGCUAGCGUUGUUCGGAUUUACUGGGCGUAAAGGGCGCGUAGGCGGUAUGCCAUGUCAGGGGUGAAAGGCCUGGGCUCAACCCAGGAACUGCCUUUGAAACUGGCAAACUAGAGUCCGAUAGAGGAUGGCGGAAUUCCCAGUGUAGAGGUGAAAUUCGUAGAUAUUGGGAAGAACACCAGUGGCGAAGGCGGCCAUCUGGAUCGGCACUGACGCUGAGGCGCGAAAGCGUGGGGAGCAAACAGGAUUAGAUACCCUUGUA